GGGUGCUCGAGUGGCGAACGGGUGAGUAACACGUGGGUAACCUGCCCUUGACUUUGGGAUAACUUCAGGAAACUGGGGCUAAUACCGGAUAGGAGCUCCUGCUGCAUGGUGGGGGUUGGAAAGUUUCGGCGGUUGGGGAUGGACUCGCGGCUUAUCAGCUUGUUGGUGGGGUAGUGGCUUACCAAGGCUUUGACGGGUAGCCGGCCUGAGAGGGUGACCGGCCACAUUGGGACUGAGAUACGGCCCAG
Molecule: ribosomal RNA, 248 nt
Filed under: uncultured Actinomycetales bacterium
Lineage: Bacteria; Bacillati; Actinomycetota; Actinomycetes; Actinomycetales
Description: partial 16S ribosomal RNA
Rfam family: Bacterial small subunit ribosomal RNA
Source: RNAcentral